GUGGGGAGCAAACAGGAUUAGAUACCCUGGUAGUCCACGCUGUAAACGAUGAGUACUAGGUGUCGGGGGGUACCCCCUUCGGUGCCGCAGCUAACGCAUUAAGUACUCCGCCUGGGAAGUACGCUCGCAAGAGGGAAACUCAAAGGAAUUGACGGGGACCCGCACAAGUAGCGGAGCAUGUGGUUUAAUUCGAAGCAACGCGAAGAACCUUACCUAAGCUUGAC
This 224-nucleotide ribosomal RNA is filed under the name Clostridioides difficile. RNAcentral describes it as "partial 16S ribosomal RNA". It matches the Rfam family "Bacterial small subunit ribosomal RNA", at positions 761 to 985 of the family's 1533-position model. Lineage: Bacteria; Bacillati; Bacillota; Clostridia; Peptostreptococcales; Peptostreptococcaceae. The record is from RNAcentral.